UACGUAGGGAGCGAGCGUUGUCCGGAUUCAUUGGGCGUAAAGAGCUCGUAGGCGGCUUGGUAAGUCGGAUGUGAAACCUCCAGGCUCAACCUGGAGUCGCCAUCCGAUACUGCCAUGGCUAGAGUCCGGUAGGGGCCCACGGAAUUCCUGGUGUAGCGGUGAAAUGCUUAGAGAUGACAUAGAACACCCAUUGCGACGGCAGCUUACUACGGAUUGAUUGACACUGAGGCACGAAAGCGUGGGGAUCAAACAGG
Molecule: ribosomal RNA, 254 nt
Filed under: uncultured bacterium
Lineage: Bacteria
Description: partial 16S ribosomal RNA
Rfam family: Bacterial small subunit ribosomal RNA
Source: RNAcentral